UACCCAGUAAUUCCUAUCCUUACCUCCUCGUGGUACUGACCGGUGUACGAGUAACCUCAGGGAAGAUCGGGUAACUAACCCCGGUGGGAACUCUGGCUGCUGAAAGGGAAGG
RNAcentral lists this ribozyme (112 nucleotides) under Aedes aegypti (yellow fever mosquito). RNAcentral describes it as "drz-agam-1 ribozyme". It matches the Rfam family "drz-agam-1 ribozyme". The record is from Rfam by way of RNAcentral. Lineage: Eukaryota; Metazoa; Arthropoda; Insecta; Diptera; Culicidae.